GGGUCAGUAGGUUGGUCGUGCCACCGGUACGUACUGGUCUCACUAUUCCUCCUUCCUGAAGAACCGUAAUGCCAUUAAUUUGGUGUUGCGGGGAAACAGGACUGUUACUUUGAAAAAAUUAGAGUGUUUAAAGCAAGCUAACGCUUGAAUACGUUAGCAUGGAAUAAUGAAAUAGGACGAUCGAUCCUAUUUUGUUGGUUUCUAGGAUUGACGUA
This 215-nucleotide ribosomal RNA is filed under the name Glomeromycotina sp. RNAcentral describes it as "partial small subunit ribosomal RNA". The stretch from base 38 to 215 matches the Rfam family "Eukaryotic small subunit ribosomal RNA", at positions 685 to 864 of the family's 1831-position model. Lineage: Eukaryota; Fungi; Glomeromycota. The record is from RNAcentral.